CUGCAUACACCAAUCAGCCUCAACAUUAGAACCACUGACAGAUUCCAAUCCAAUCAACCCACAAGACUCAAAGGAUCUGACACCAACAUCCCCGUGAGUCGUGCCACAGGACAUCCUCAGAGACCCAAGAUCUCCCAGGCCUGCUCGCCAGCCAGCCAACCAGCCAGCCAACCGUCAUCAAUUCACCCCUAAUCUCUCCC
This is a non-coding RNA of Plectropomus leopardus (leopard coralgrouper), 200 nucleotides long. Lineage: Eukaryota; Metazoa; Chordata; Actinopteri; Perciformes; Serranidae. The record is from RefSeq and is a predicted model, not a curated record.